Molecule: ribosomal RNA, 374 nt
Filed under: uncultured bacterium
Lineage: Bacteria
Description: bacterial SSU rRNA
Rfam family: Bacterial small subunit ribosomal RNA
Source: RNAcentral
GACGGAGGGUGCUAGCGUUGUUCGGAAUCACUGGGCGUAAAGGGCGCGUAGGCGGCGGUUCAAGUCGGAUGUGAAAGCCCGGGGCUCAACCCCGGAGGUGCAUCCGAGACUGAUCUGCUGGAGGCCGGAAGAGGAGGGUGGAAUACCCAGUGUAGAGGUGAAAUUCGUAGAUAUUGGGUGGAACACCGGUGGCGAAAGCGGCUCUCUGGUCCGGACCUGACGCUGAGGCGCGAAAGCGUGGGGAGCAAACAGGAUUAGAUACCCUGGUAGUCCACGCCCUAAACGAUGUGGGCUAGACGUCGGGGGGCUUGCCCUUCGGUGUCGCAGCUAACGCAUUAAGCCCACCGCCUGGGGAGUACGGCCGCAAGGUUAAA